UGGGGAAUAUUGCACAAUGGGCGCAAGCCUGAUGCAGCCAUGCCGCGUGUGUGAAGAAGGCCUUCGGGUUGUAAAGCACUUUCAGCGGGGAGGAAGGCGGUGAGGUUAAUAACCUCAUCGAUUGACGUUACCCGCAGAAGAAGCACCGGCUAACUCCGUGCCAGCAGCCGCGGUAAUACGGAGGGUGCAAGCGUUAAUCGGAAUUACUGGGCGUAAAGCGCACGCAGGCGGUCUGUCAAGUCGGAUGUGAAAUCCCCGGGCUCAACCUGGGAACUGCAUUCGAAACUGGCAGGCUAGAGUCUUGUAGAGGGAGGUAGAAUUCCAGGUGUAGCGGUGAAAUGCGUAGAGAUCUGGAGGAAUACCGGUGGCGAAGGCGGCCCCCUGGACAAAGACUGACGCUCAGGUGCGAAAGUGUGGGGAGCAAACAGG
RNAcentral lists this ribosomal RNA (429 nucleotides) under Chloroflexota bacterium. Its description in RNAcentral is "Chloroflexi bacterium partial 16S ribosomal RNA". It matches the Rfam family "Bacterial small subunit ribosomal RNA", at positions 355 to 776 of the family's 1533-position model. Lineage: Bacteria; Bacillati; Chloroflexota. The record is from RNAcentral.